Molecule: non-coding RNA, 4722 nt
Organism: Vicugna pacos (alpaca)
Lineage: Eukaryota; Metazoa; Chordata; Mammalia; Artiodactyla; Camelidae
Source: RefSeq, a predicted model, not a curated record
CGCGCCGGGCCGGGCCCAGAAUGGGGGGGAUACGGGGUCGCAGCCCCUUCCGUGAGCCUGGAGGCUCAGCGGCGAGGAGUUCCGCAGGGCAGGAGUGCACGGUCCGCAGGCGUCAGAGAGAAGAGGAAGUUAAGGAUCAGGAGUUACGUAAAUUGCCCUCAGAGGCAAAGAGGAGGCCCGGAAUCCCAGACUCUUUUCCCACCACCUUCUGGGCACCCUUGGCCUUUCCCAGUCUCUCCCCACCCCGUCUCUUCAUCACGCUGUUUGAGCUGGUCAGUGGGAGAGCCAGGACCACCCAGGUGGCUUCACCAUCAUGCAGUUUGUCCUUGAGGAAGAGGAAGCUGCUAGACCAGUGGUGGAGUCCCUCCAGCCUACUUCCUCUAAAACAGAACCAGCAAAUUCUGCUUUGGUGGCUGAAGCAGAUGUCACUGACCUCCUAAGGGGACUCUUCAGACAGUGAGUAACACUUUACAACUUUCAGGGAAGAGAGAGUCCAAGGUCCAGCCUUCUGGGGUUACUAGCCAUCAGGGUCCACCGAUUCCCUCUGCUGCUCCGCCGUCUCCCUGCAGGGGGCGCAGGCGGGCAGAGAAGGAGCCUGAUCGCCGCCGCCCUCUGCGGCAGCUCAUUUUCAUUCAUUUUCUUUAAAUGCUUCUUGCUCUGUUUUUAAAUCUAAUUUUUCAGCUGCUUUUUUAUCUUCACUCAAGUUGCUUUAAUGAAACGAAAAUGUGUCUGUUUCCCUCUGCUGGAGCUGCCUGGGGAAUUUCAAUAUAAAACAAACAAGUUGGCUUUUAAAAUUAAAAUUUUAUGGGUGGCAUUUCCUCAUUUAAUGGGAGGCACAAAAGGCUGGAGUAAAACCAAUUAACACGGGGUUGGGACUUGGUGUUCAGCAAAAUUAAGCAGCAGGAGCGCAGUGUGCUGGGAGCCGUUUGUGCGGGGCUGGGGGAGGUGCGCACACAGGUGGCCUGGAGAGUGGUGGCCUCCCAGCACCUCUGUGCACUGGGGAUGGAUCUGCACACGUACGUGAAGACCUCGCCCCCUCCACUCCUUGCCUGGACACCUGCUCUGUACAUUCAGAUGGCAGGAGAUCACGGUGAGGAACAAACAGAGGGAUGGCUGCUUUGGAUUCCUGGGGUCCUGGACACUGGAGUUUGGAGAGGCAUCCGUGAAAGUACCUAAGACUUCUGCAAAGGCCAGGAAUCACUCGGGAAUUAACCGCCCCCCGGGGACAAUAUGAGUCCUAUCCUGUCUUGAUCAUGGCUGUGCCCCAGGGCCCAGACAGAACCAGGAGUGGUAGGUGCUCCAAACACACACGAUGACUGAACGAAUGACUUCAUUUGGGCAAACAGUAUUAACGGAACUCAGCAGUGAAUCACUCAGAGUUCUUAUCGCCCAGUGCACAGAUCUUUCUUUUUUGGUGGGGGGUGGGUAGAAAAGAUGAAAAUGUCACAGGUUCUGGGGAGGAAGGGGUCAGUCAUGGUGGGACCACCGUGUGGGAAGGAUUUUGUGAAACCAGCAAAGGCAGAGUGAAUUGCACCAGAGAAGAAGACAGCCAGGCCAGUGGUCUGGCAGGAGCAAAGGACUAGAGGUGAGACGUGGAUGUGGCUGAAUCUGGCUAGAAAGUAGGGUGUGUACAAGCCGUGGAAUCCGGGGAGGUCGGAGGCAGCGAGGUUGUGAUGUGUGGGAUGAGGAAGUUCACUUUACUUUAUCUUGUGGGCAGUGGGGCUCCCUUGCAGGUUCCAAAGCAGAUUGGUAUGUGCUCAGAGGUGGUUUCCGGGAGACUGCUUCUGGUGGCCUGUUGGGGGGGAGGGAAGAAUCCAGCCUGGUGGGGUAGACUUGGUCCAGGCUGAGCUGAGGACCUCAGGCUGGGGGCCCAGGGAAUGAUGGGGCCCUACUCUAAGCUGGGAAGUCCUGGCAGAGGAGCAGGUUAAAAAAGUGGAGGUAUUCAGUGUGGCCACAAACGCCCACUCCGAAUGUGGACCUGAUUGUGCUGAGGACCCAGGAAGUAGAUUCACACUGACAGUUACAGCCCAGUCCUGUUAGUACUGGGCCCUGAUGCCACAGCAUCCAGGAAACCCCCAGGAAAACAGGAUUUACAGCUUCAGAGAAAGGGCCUGGGCCAACUCUUUGGCUCCCUUCAUCUCCCUCCUCCCCUGGGGCAGCUUUCUCCCCACCCUUUCUGCCCUCUGACCCCUGAGUCUGUGGCGAGGGUCACUCUGUUACUGGAAUCCCCAGAGCUAUGGGGAAAGCUGAGUGUCCCACCUGCUUGGAGUAAAGAAAUCCAGCUAGUUUCCAUGGCCACCGCCAGCAUCCUUAGUCUUCCCCAGUCAGGGCUUCAGACCCACAAAUGAACUCCUGGACAGAGUCCUGCAGGCCCCAGACAGUCCUCCAGGAGGGGUGUGGACAGUGGGUACCGAGUCCUGGCUCUCUUGGGAAGGUAUCUUUGAGAGAACAUCUGAGGUCGGAGGAAGGGGUUUCCUGGUGUGAGUCAGUGCUCUGACCUGUGCCCAUCGAAGGGUUCCCCUGGGUCCAGUCUGAGGAUCCUGGUGAAGGUCUCUUUGAGACCAAUUUGAGAAGUCUGUGGUUUAUUUGUAAGUCUCUUUGAGGCCUGUUUGAAGGCCUAAAGACUGGGUUGGCCCGAGGGCCAAUAGCAUAAAACCAAAAAAAUGGCCCAAGGCUAAGUCUGACAUUGACCUUCUCCCUCUGGAUAACAGAGUAAACCUGGCCAAGCUUGAAGUAGGUUCUUAUGGCCAGGGGGCUGGUGGAGAGGCUGGUGUCUUUUCUUUAGUGAUAGAUGAAGUUUACCCCAAACCACAAAACACUUGGCCAGAGCCCCCACUCUAUCCCAACAACCAGCAGGCUGACUUUGACCAAUCUGGCAAAAGCAACACAGUGCUUGAGCAUCACACCACCUGUCUAUCUUACUGGGGAGAAAGACAGCAUGUGUCCUAUCUAAAAUGGGUUUUUGAGUAUGAAUAGGAGUUCACCUAGUGAACCAAGUGGUAAGGACCAUACCGGCUGAGUGACAUUGGUGAAGACACAGAAAUGUGGAACAGUUCUCUGUAGGCCAAGAGAGCUACAAGUAUGUCAGUUUUCCUUGCAAGAGAUAGGCCGACCAGUAUCACACAAAAUAAAGUAAGAGAGAGGGCUUUGCAAACUGUAGAGUGCUACACAAAAUGAGGCAUUGCUGUUACCACCCAUCUCUCGCCUUUUGUCAUGGGAACCAGAUGAGUCGAAGCGUGUGAAGUUGCAUUGUAAACUGGAAAGUAUUUAUGAAAAUGUUAAUUAAUGUAUUUAGAGAGUAGGUAGAUUAAGUGUGAGGAUGUGGAGAUGGAGUAGACAAUUAAAAUAUCUGCUAAUUUCUCUCUUGAAUUCACAUUUUAGGAAAUGUUUAUAAACUGAGAAUUCUAAUUACUUUUCUCCCUCGCACCUCUUUUCAGAUGAGUACACUGUAAGAGAGUUAUAGUAGCUAUUAAAAAUAUUGUGAAUUUCCUGGUAGAUCAGUUGGGACUCUUUAUAUAACAAGUAGCAGAAGACCGAGCGCCAACUGGCUUGCCCAGUAAAAGGAACGUGUAGUUUUUAUGUGAUUUGAAAGUCCAAAGGUAGCAUAAACCUCAAGGUAGGCUGGAUCUAGAGUUCAUUACUCUGACGCUCAGGCCUGCUUCUCUAUGUCGGAUACCAAAAGCUCCUCCAGAUCUUGGGGUUCCCUUUGGCCAACCAUCCAACAGAAUUCCUGAGCUUCACUUCUGAUUGGAGUAACUUAGGUCAUGUGGAUGGGGAAUGCCAGGGCUUGUUUGGCUUAGGUCUGGAUCAAGUGUCCAUCCCUAAAACAAUCAUUGUGGUACAAGCAUGGGCAUCCAUCAUCCCUGGUCACUCCUGUGGACCACUGGGCUCCAGGCAUGCAGACCUGGAGUCGUGGUCGGUUUCUUGCCUCAUUGCUGAUUUCAGCAUCUAAACUCUCUCUUCCCUGCACCUCUUCCUUUGCAGGCAAGAUGCUGGUCCAGGCCUUGUCUCAUCACCCCACAUUGCAGGGUUUUUUUUUUUUUUUCCAGAUGCUUACUCAGUCCCUAGCCUCUUUGCUUGCCAGUGAAUUUUUCUUGGUAGCUGCUCGAAAGCUCGACACUUUUAAUCAUAGCAAAGAACACAUAUUACAGCCAUUGUGAUAAGACAGAAAGCAUGAUUGCAAAAUUUAGCUAUGGGAAAAUUAUCAUCGUUUUCCAGAGACCCAAUUUUAUCACCAGAAAACCCAAUAAAAUUAACUCAAAACAAUUAAUUAUGGCAAAUAAAGGAGUUUAGUGAGGUGUCAGAAACAAAAUAAUAAAAUGAAAAAAGUUCUUUUCUGUAACAACAAUAAUUCAGUUUUAAACUAUUGUGGUAGGUUAUCUGGAGAAGAGAGUUUUUGCUUUUUUUUUUUAACUUAAUGAAGAUGCUCAUUUGGGGAUUGUUGGUUUCUGGAAACCGUGUUGGUUUCCAGAGAUAGAGAUACAUAUGACCUUGAAUUAGAUCCCUCCCCACCCAAGAUGUGUCCUGUAGACAAACAAGCAAACACUACUUGUUUUUCUAGGAGGAGGCCUGGAAGAAGGAAUCUAGGUGCAAGAAGGCAAAUUGAGAUGGUAAAUAUUCUGUUUUGUGAUGACUGCAUUUAAGCAGUUUGCUAUAGAUGUGACCUGGGUUUAUUGCCUGGGGUGGGAGCAGAGAACACUAAGGAUUUUCAGAUGGAGACAG